AACGAACGCUGGCGGCAUGCCUAACACAUGCAAGUCGAACGAGACCUUCGGGUCUAGUGGCGCACGGGUGCGUAACGCGUGGGAACCUGCCCUUAGGUUCGGAAUAACUCCCCGAAAGGGGUGCUAAUACCGGAUAAUGUCUUCGGACCAAAGAUUUAUCGCCUUUGGAUGGGCCCGCGUUGGAUUAGCUAGUUGGUAGGGUAAAAGCCUACCAAGGCGACGAUCCAUAGCUGGUCUGAGAGGAUGAUCAGCCACACUGGGACUGAGACACGGCCCAGACUCCUACGGGAGGAAGCAGUGGGGAAUAUUGGACAAUGGGCGAAAGCCUGAUCCAGCAAGGCCGCGUGAGUGAUGAAGGCCUUAGGGUUGUAAAGCUCUUUUACCCGGGAUGAUAAUGACAGUACCGGGAGAAUAAGCUCCGGCUAACUCCGUG
Molecule: ribosomal RNA, 433 nt
Filed under: uncultured bacterium
Lineage: Bacteria
Description: partial 16S ribosomal RNA
Rfam family: Bacterial small subunit ribosomal RNA
Source: RNAcentral